This is a long non-coding RNA of Nycticebus coucang (slow loris), 1214 nucleotides long. RefSeq lists it as uncharacterized. The record is from RefSeq and is a predicted model, not a curated record. The transcript has 3 exons. NCBI's taxonomy places the organism in Eukaryota, Metazoa, Chordata, Mammalia, Primates, Lorisidae.
CGUUCCCCUCCUAAGAACCAUCCGGCCCCUUGAGGAAGACUGACUUCUGGGGAGGGCAGAGGGGCCCGUGCCCAGGCAUAAUGACCCCAGGUCACCCUCGCUGCCGCCCCAGGGUACCAGUUGGAUUGAACCAAGGCCCACCUAGUGAUUUCGUGUUGCCUCAAUUACUUCUUUCAAGGCCCUAUCUCCAAAUACAGUCAUAUUGUGAGGUAGUGCGGUGGCAAGCAUACCUCCGAGGACGACCAGUGGAUUUCAGUGAGAUGAGAUGUUGCACGUGGGCACCUGGCGCAUCAUAGUGGGUGUGAUAAACACUUACCCACCAGCCGCUGGGGCAGACAAAGGAGGAGAAUUGCUUAUGUCAUGGGGUGACUUUGAGGGCAGUUGGGAAAGGCAUGUUACAUAAAUCCCAGGGUGAGCAAAGAUCUACGAAGGCGCUCUCCUCAGGAGGUCACCAAGGCCACCUUGGGCUGAGGGGAACCCUGGGCUCACAGCCUGCCACAGAGUUUUCCUGGGACCUUGUGUGUCCACAAGUGUAGGAAAUCAUGUUCCCUGCCUCGUGCCCAGUGGUUCUCCCAAAUUGAGUAACUGACCCCCCUCUUCUAGGGGCCCCCCCUCACAUCUUCAGAGAAGUACAACCUAGACAGAGCAGAGAGCAAGAGAAAGGGAGAGAGAAGGGAGACACUCCCUUCUGUUCAGUAAUCUCUUACCAUCUGCCUCCCACGAGCUGAAUGCACAGAUCCUCAGACCAGCACCCUGGCACAGGGAGCCCCCAGCCCCUGGGGAAGGCAGGUGGCAUGCCUGUAACCACACUGACUGGAAAGGCAAAGGCGCUGCCCUGCUGUCCACUUUCUGGUGGCCUGACCUCCACUGCCCUCUUUGUACCCAGGGUCUUGUCUGUGAGAUGAAGCGACUGGCAAGAUGACCAUAGAGAGCUCACGACCUUACAGAGCCAGACAGAGGCCCUUAGUAGAGCCCCCUUGGGGAUCUAAACAAUGAAAUGACAUUCUAAAUGAAAAAAACAAUCAAGGGUAUAUGUGAGGCUUGGUAAAUGUGGAAUGUAAAUGUCUUAGCAAAGUAACUAAGAAAAUGCCAGGAGGGCUAUGUCAACUAAUGUGAUGAAAAUGUGUCAAAUGGUCUAUGAACCAAGUGUAUGGUGCCCCAUGAUCAUAUUGAUGUACACAGCUAUGAUUUAAUAAAAAUAAAAGAAAAGAAAA